UGAGCAGCGGCAGCAGCAUCUCUCUGACUCCAGACUCUCAGGGAACAAACCGGUGAUGCCCGCGGACGGAUUUGGACUCUGACGGGAGCUGGAGGACGGAUCGGGAUCGGGAGGCUAAUUAUUAAAGGAUGUCGUUGAUGCCGUGAUGCACGUGGAGGGAUCUAGUCGACGUGACAGUAGAAGAUGGAGAGCAGACCCCUGCAGACACGACGUUAGAGAGCCACUGAGAGGAACUGUGGAGAGAAACGGGCCAGGCCGAAGAGCGUGGGACCAAUGAUGGAUUUCUCAUGUGAUGAAACAGAAAAAGGCCCACCUGUACAGAUGCACAGCCUCCGAGAGUUUGAACAG
Labrus bergylta (ballan wrasse) is the source of this 348-nucleotide non-coding RNA. The record is from RefSeq and is a predicted model, not a curated record. NCBI's taxonomy places the organism in Eukaryota, Metazoa, Chordata, Actinopteri, Labriformes, Labridae.